GAUGAACGCUGGCGGCGCGCCUAACACAUGCAAGUCGAACGAUUAAAGCACCUUCGGGUGUGUAUAAAGUGGCGAACGGCUGAGUAACACGUGGGCAACCUGCCCCUUUCAUUGGGAUAGCCACGGGAAACCGUGGAUAAUACCGAAUACUUCGAGACUUCCGCAUGGAAGACUCGAGAAAGCUCCGGCGGUGAGGGAUGGGCCCGCGGCCUGUUAGCUUGUUGGUGGGGUAACGGCCUACCAAGGCAAUGAUGGGUAGCUGGGUUGAGAGACCGACCAGCCAGAUUGGGACUGAGACACGGCCCAGACUCCUACGGGAGGCAGCAGGGGGGAAUCUUGCACAAUGGGCGAAAGCCUGAUGCAGCGACGCCGCGUGCGGGAUGAAGGCCUUCGGGUUGUAAACCGCUUUCAGCAGGGACGAGGCGAAAGUGACGGUACCUGCAGAAGAAGCCCCGGCUAACUACGUG
This 467-nucleotide ribosomal RNA is filed under the name uncultured bacterium. RNAcentral describes it as "partial 16S ribosomal RNA". It matches the Rfam family "Bacterial small subunit ribosomal RNA", at positions 28 to 507 of the family's 1533-position model. The record is from RNAcentral.